Molecule: ribosomal RNA, 588 nt
Filed under: uncultured bacterium
Lineage: Bacteria
Description: bacterial SSU rRNA
Rfam family: Bacterial small subunit ribosomal RNA
Source: RNAcentral
CCUACGGGAGGCAGCAGUGGGGAAUUUUGGACAAUGGGCGCAAGCCUGAUCCAGCCAUGCCGCGUGCAGGAUGAAGGCCUUCGGGUUGUAAACUGCUUUUGUACGGAACGAAAAGACUCUGGUUAAUACCUGGGGUCCAUGACGGUACCGUAAGAAUAAGCACCGGCUAACUACGUGCCAGCAGCCGCGGUAAUACGUAGGGUGCGAGCGUUAAUCGGAAUUACUGGGCGUAAAGCGUGCGCAGGCGGUUAUAUAAGACAGAUGUGAAAUCCCCGGGCUCAACCUGGGAACUGCAUUUGUGACUGUAUAGCUAGAGUACGGCAGAGGGGGAUGGAAUUCCGCGUGUAGCAGUGAAAUGCGUAGAUAUGCGGAGGAACACCGAUGGCGAAGGCAAUCCCCUGGGCCUGUACUGACGCUCAUGCACGAAAGCGUGGGGAGCAAACAGGAUUAGAUACCCUGGUAGUCCACGCCCUAAACGAUGUCAACUGGUUGUUGGGUCUUCACUGACUCAGUAACGAAGCUAACGCGUGAAGUUGACCGCCUGGGGAGUACGGCCCGCAAGGUUGAAAACUCAAAUGAAAUUGACGG